Molecule: long non-coding RNA, 2271 nt
Organism: Ostrea edulis (European flat oyster)
Lineage: Eukaryota; Metazoa; Mollusca; Bivalvia; Ostreida; Ostreidae
Exons: 2
Source: RefSeq, a predicted model, not a curated record
GUUCUCCAUCCUUGUGAAUAUUUCACUAAUUUCGCGCCCAGAAAGGAACAUUGAAAAAAAAGCGCUUUGAUCACUUGCGUGAACGUCAGGUCGUACACUGACUGACUCGUCCCCAGGUCAACACGUAACCAAAAGACGAUCAGUAAAAAGUUAUACAAUCGACCAGUGGAAACCCAGUGUAUAAGACUUCAUAUACAGUGAAACUUUUCCAAACCGGCCCCUCAGAAUACCGGUUCUCCCUGAAUAUCGGCCGAUUUUCAAAGUCCCGGCAGAAAUCUUAACAUUUCCUUACAAAGAAAGUCUUACAAAACCGGCCACCCCUGAAAACCGGACAUCGGCCACUUUUUAAAGAACAUUUGUUAACAAACAUGUGUAAUUUACCCUUAACAUACCGGCCACUUUUUGAAGACAAGAAAAUUUUGGCCAAAGGUUAAUCAAGAUCGUCCAGGUGUGCAAAUUGACUGACCCACCAGCCAGGUAUGAAAUUAUCAACCGGAGCUGUGAAAAACAUUAGUGGCCUCUUUAAUUUCUAUUGUUUACCUGUGCUGUCAAGGGUGUUAAUUGACACUUAGCUAAUCCAAGAGACCCUUCCAAAUUCUGUACAAAAUGUAAAAAACAGAAAAUUAUUGAAUGAAUACCGUAUCAAACGCCAUAUUGUUUCACCAUACUUUCGUAUGGAUAUAAGCGGUAAUUAAUAAAGAACAAACCCAUGACUGUUAAUGAUAAUUAUUAAAAGAUAGAUUAAUUUUCUUGAUUUCCAUAGACUUAAAAUUUCAAAGAAAUAUUCAAAUUACAAUUUCAUAUUUACUACUGUACUUUUUAAAAACGUCAAAACAAAAUUGUUAAUGACAUAAGCGAUGAAUGUAAACAGAGUUUUUAUAGGUAAGAGGAAUUCCAAUAAUAGGCCUCUGUGUUUUCUUUAUGUAUCCCGCUAUAGAGUUUCAGUUUAAAAUUAGAUAAGAUUAGAUAAUUUCAGCGAGAAUAUUCCUUGUAAUUCAUAAUCGUCUUUAGGUACAAGCAGACUAAUUUAAUCUCCACCGAUAAUUGAUCAUAGAUCACCAGAUUAAAGUGAACAGUACCUACUUUGUGAAUAUUGAGAUAAAAAGUCUAUAAUUACUAAAUUCUCGGUAUACCGGCCAUCCCUCUAAACCGGCCGUUUUUUCCGGUCCGAGAGCCGGCCAGUUUAGAGAAGUUUCACUGUAUAUACAUAUGAUAUAUUUUAUACAUGAUAUAUCAUAUAUCGAAUUAGAACGGGGAGAAGAAAAAAACACGACAGGCUUCGUACAUUGUACAAGUUGACCGAAACGACAUCACCGGAAGUUACAACUUUCAAAGAAGUCAUUUAUGAUUUAAAGAUUUGUGAAUGGAAAUCAAUAACAUCGGAAUGAAAAAGGACUAUGGGGUAACGGAUGACACUCUGAGAUUGAGAACCCAAAAGGUACAUGCUGUGCAAGAAAGAUGUAAACAUGCGAAUUCCUAAAUGUACUAAAUAUUAAAACAUCAACUGCAAUCUUCAGUGGUGACAUCCAAAAGUUGAUAUGCCAUUGGUACUUCAAGUGAUACGACCGUGACAUUGGAAAAUCCUUUUAACUUAUCAUCACUUGAGCCUGAAUUGCAAUCCUUUUGAUACAGACAUUUUUUUAAGUUCAGUUUCGAACAUUAAUGCCGCUGUGUCAUUUCUGGAAAUGGAAAAGCCUACCACAGAAUCUGAUGAAUUUUUGAACAUUCUUUCACAAAAAGGGAUCUUCUUUAUUUUGAAGAAGGUAGGCCAGGAACUGGAAAUCUGUUAUCAAAAUGAUCUUAAUAAUACACUGGACAAUAUUCUAACCUAAAAAAAAUCAUGACAAACCCGAUUGGACUUCUGUGAUGAAGCAUCUCAAAACUCAAAUUAUGGUAGUCUUUCAAGUGACAUUGAGGAUUUCAAUAGCGCAUUUGACAGUAAAGUGAUUUUUAUUCAAGUUCAGAUUGUUGUCAUUAUAAAUUUAUAAGAAGUGUUCUCAUAGCCAACAUUUUUCAAGUCUACUUUUGAUGAAAUAUAGUCUUUUCUAUUACAACUUAUUAUGACAUGAUUGUUGUUGUAUACAUAAAUGUUCUUAUCCACGAAUCAUUCACUGUUCUUAUAGUUUUUUUUUAUCCUGAACUAUGUAGCAAUGACAUGUCAAGGUAAUCCAGAAAAUGUAAAAUCUUUUCUUUGAUAUGACAAGGAUUUAAUUUUGUAACAAUUAAUAUCUAAAAGUCCUGUAACCCUCAUUAAAGUCCUUUAUAAUCUGA